AUGUGUCUAGUUUGAGCAUAAAAAAAUUUGAGAGCCAUUGGAUACAUUCUCAUCAUUUCACAAUUGAUUUGGCAAAGUGUACAAAAUUUGGUCACAUGUCACAAACCCUAAGGCCAUUAAAAAAACCAUCCAUCCAAAAAUUCUGGAAAAAUAAUGAUAAAAAAGUAGAGAUCAUGAUGAACACAACACAAAAAAUCCCAUUGAAUUUGGACCAAAAAUGAGCAAGUUAUGAAUUUUGGAAGAUUGGUAAUUAAAAUGUGAAAUAAAUGAAGCAAGAAUGGCAAUUUUGUAAUAUUUGGAUCCACUUAUCAAAACACAGUCGUUUUGGGCAGCAAAUGGAAUGUUUUGAUUGGCUGGAGGGGGGCACACGAAAAUGGGGGCAAUUCUGGGCAGAUUGGGAUUAGGGUUCUUAUCAAAAAAAACGUGAUUUCUCAAUUCUUCCCAAAAGUGUCAAUUAAGCAUACCAUUGUAAACAUCAAACACCAUACAACAACAAUCCAAACCCUAAUUUCAUCAAUUUGAACUAUACAACAAGAAAUCACAAGAAACAUUUUCAAACAUCAAACUUUAUAAAGUGUCAAUUAAGCAUACCAUUGUAAACAUCAAACACCAUACAACAACAAUCCAAACCCUAAUUUCAUCAAUUUGAACUAUACAACAAGAAAUCACAAGAAACAUUUUCAAACAUCAAACUUUAUCCCAUCAUAACUUCAUGAACAAGCAACUAUUCCAAAAAAUGAAAGCAUCAUGGUACUCAGCAAUAAAGGAUCUUUCCAAAGUGUAUGUCAAUUUUAAGAAUGGGGGAAGUUGAAAACUUACUAAUUUUGAGAAGCAGUUGUAUUGCUGGUGCCUUUUGAUGGAUUUGGGGUGAAGUGAUCGUCCUAGAGCCUUGCCUUGAUGUAUGCUGAAGAUUGCUCUUUGUCAAAUGCUUGUGUAGUGUCCACUCAAAGGGGGUGCAAAUGUUGUCAAGCCAGGCCAGGUUUAUGACUGUUGCUGCAGUGUUGGAUUUUUCUGUGGUGUUUGACAGGACCUUUCUUGGCAAGAUGCAAGUGAGGUGGUUGGAAUAAGGCAGGAUGAAUGCUGGUUCUGUUGUUUUGAUGGCAGGAAAAUGAAGUCCUCUGCCUGCUGCUAAGUUGUUGUGACAGGUUUUUGGUAAGAAUCAAAUGAAGUGAGUUUGAGUUUUGCUAAGUUGGUUUUUAGGAUUUGAAGAAAGCAAAACAAAGUUGGACUGGCCUGCUGCUAUUUCUUGGAUUCUUGUUAUGACAACCCAUGGUCUAUGCCAAGCAAGCAAGCAUGAAGUUGAAAAAAAAGAGGAGGGGAGAGAAGAGACAGAGAAUGGCAAUUUUGUAAUAUGGAUCCACUACAAAACACAGCGUUUGGGCACAAUGGAAUGUUUGAAUUGGCUGGAGGGGGGCACACGAAAAUGGGGCAAUCUGGGCAGAUUGGGAUUAGGGUUCUUAUCAAAAAAAACGUGAUUCUCAAUUCUUUCCCAAAAGUGCAAUUAAGCAUACCAUUGUAAACAUACAAACACCAUACAACAACAAUCAACCUAAUUCAUCAAAUUUGAACUAUACAACAAGAAAUCACAAAAACUUUCAAACAUCAAACUUAUCCCAUCAUAACUUAUGAACAAGCAACUAUCCAAAAAAUGAAAGCAUCAUGGUACUUCAGCAAAAAGGAUCUUCCAAAGUGUAUGUCAAUUUUAAGAAUGGGGAAGUUGAAAACUUACUAAUUUUGAGAACAUUGUAUUGCUUGGUGCCUUUUGAUGGAUUGGGUGAAGGGAUCGUCCUAGAGCCUUGCCUUGAUGGUAUCUGAAGAUUGCUCUUUGUCAAAUGCUGUGUAGGUCCACUCAAAGCGGAAAAAUGUUGUCAAGCCAGGCCAGGUUUAUGACUGUUGCUGCAGUGUUGGAUUUUCUGUGGUUUUGACAGGACCUUUCUUGGCAAGUGCAAUGAGGUGGUUGAAUAACAGGAUGAGAAUGCUGGUUCUGUUUUUUGAUGGCAGGAAAAUGAAGUCCUCUGCCUGCUGCUAAGUUGUUGUGACAGGUUUUGGUAAGAAUCAAAUGAAAGUGAGUUUGAGUUUGCUAAGUUGGUUUUUAGAUUUUGAAGAAAGCAAAACAAAGUUGGACUGGCCUGCUGCUAUUUCUUGGAUUCUUGUUAUGACAACCAUGGUCUAAUGCCAAGCAAGCAAGCAUGAAGUGAAAAAAAAGAAAGUAUUCGGCUGCUACUGGUUUUUAGACAGAAAAGAAUAAAAUGCAAAUAGUUAGGUUCAGUUGAGGAGUGGAGCUGUUGGUUGUUGGAUGUGUGUAGCAGAAAAAAAUGUUGGUUUGUUGGAUGCUGGUUCUGCUGUUGGUGUUUUGUUGACAGAAAGAUGUGGGAUGCAAAAUAGCAAGUUGAUGGUGAGCUGCAGGUUUGUAAUGGGUGUUUGCUGCUAGUAAACUUGGAAGAAAUGGCAAAAUGCAGUUGGGUGGCUUUUGGAGAUUGUAGGAAGUUGUUAGUUUUGUUGGUUAGUUUUGUUGGUUUGGUGGCUGCAAAGUUCUUUUGCAUGACAGAAAAUGGCUCAAAUAUGGUUCCUCAUGCUUGGACAGAAAAGCAAAAACAAACUAGUGCACACUCUUCGAUUUUCAAGCGCAGUUUUUUGCUUCUCUGGUACAGGGUGUUUGUAAAGUGGCCAAAGGCUUUGUUUGAUGAUAGCCAAAUGAAGUGGCAAGGUGGUUGUAUAUGCAGGGUUGGAAUGAAUGCAAUGCAAGAUGAUGCUGGGGUUUGUUGGUCUGUUAUGCUGGUUUUGAGGCAAGGCCAAGGGUUGUACAAGUUUUUAGAAUCACCAUUAGAAAAAUGAAGAGCUGUUUGUAUGCUGCUUUUUGUAACUUUCAAACAAACACUUGCCAUCUUGACAUGCCAACGCAAUCCUUUUUGUAUCAUGACCUCUUUCUUUUUGGUCUGCAGUUGCUUGUGGUGUAACUGCGUCUCAAAAGUGACAGCAAGAAGAACAAAGAAAACCCUGCUUUUUGUUGCUUAGUUCUGCAAUGCCUUUUUCUUCUGAGUUUUACAGGUNNNNNNNNNNNNNNNNNNNNNNNNNNNNNNNNNNNNNNNNNNNNNNNNNNNNNNNNNNNNNNNNNNNNNNNNNNNNNNNNNNNNNNNNNNNNNNNNNNNNNNNNNNNNNNNNNNNNNNNNNNNNNNNNNNNNNNNNNNNNNNNNNNNNNNNNNNNNNNNNNNNNNNNNNNNNNNNNNNNNNNNNNNNNNNNNNNNNNNNNNNNNNNNNNNNGAAUGAAAAGUAUUUCUGCUCCUGCUACCUUGGGUUCUUUAGACAGAAGAAGAAUAAAAUGCAAAUAGUUAGGUCAGUUGAGGGAGUGUGAGUCGUUGGUUUGUUGGAUGCUGUAGGAGCAGAAAAAAAAUGUGGUUUUGUUGGAUGCUGGUUCUGCUGUUGGUGUUUUGUUUUGACAGAAAGUGUGGGAUGCAAUAACGAAUUUGAUGAUUGAUGCUAGAUGGUUUGAGUGGAAUGGUGAUUGUUUGCUGCUAAGUAAACUUGGAAGAAAUGGCCAAAAUGCAGUGUGUGGCUUUUGGAGAUUUGUAGUAAGUUGGUUAGUUUUUUUUUUAGAAAAAUCCAAGGGUGUUUGUGGUCUUGUUGGAAGGUAUGGUUGAGCUAGCUAGUUCAAGUAAGGUUACUGCAGGUUCUUUGGUACUGCUGCAGGCAACUGAUUUUUCUGUUUUGUUAAUGCCCCAAAAACCUGUUUUCAAACCCUGCUCUUAACUGUUGUUUGUGAUGGCAAGGCAUGGUAUAGGGUUGUGGCAUUGUGCAGCCAGUAGUUCUCAAAAAAUGACUGGAAAAUGUGAUCCACAAAAUCUGCUUUGUGAUGUGGUGAAAGCAUGGUUGUGGAAGUAUGGUGUGGAAUGGUGUAAUUGUACUUUUACUCUCCAAUUUUUAGGCAAUUAGGACAUGGCCAUAUGUACCAUUGAUUUUUGGCUGCAUAAUGAGGCUCUAAGGACAGAAGAAAGGCUGCAUAAUUGCUGUCCUUUUGAGGUACAAGGCAAGGCAUGGACAAGCAUGGUGCAAUGGUACUUUUCUUACAAUUCAAGCAACCAAACAAGAUUCACAUGUUCUGCAUAAUUUGACCUUGCAAACACCUUCUAAAUGACAUUUAUGAGCUGUUCCAAUUGGCCAAAUGCUGAAAAAAUGUUUGAGUCAAAAAGUCAACUCUUGGUCAAACUUACAUUUAAAUGAAAAAGGUCAAAAUAUGCCAUUUUGAUUGGUAAAGUUUUAGGUCAUGAAAUUUAUAUUUUUGGAAAGAGGAUGAAAAAUGUGACUUGUAGGAAAAAACCCCACCAAAAUUGGCCAAACGGUUUGAGAGAUAUGGCCUUUUGAAGUUCAAGAUUUUCUGAAAUCGAUUCGAUCAUAACUUGCCAACCAUACAUGGGAAUUGAGAGUUCUAGGACUUUUUGGAAAUGGGAGAACAAGAUCUUCAACUUUCAUGUUGGGCAAAAAUUCAUUUGAGGCUUGUAUCAAAAUGUAAGUUUGAGGAUCAAGACUUUCCAUUUAUGGCAGGUUUCAGUUACAGGCCCAGUUUCCAUUUUGGGAAAUUCAUGAUCUGGCUUCAAAUUCUUCCAUGAUGGUGUUUGGCAUGAUAUAUGAUGACUAUUUGGACAUGAAUGAACUCUCACAAACCAAAUCCAAUCAUCCAAUCACUGAUUAAAUGGACAGUUGACCAACAGUUGACUAUUAGGGUUUUUGUCUGAUUAUGCAUUAACUGAUGACUUCCAAACCCUAAUUCCUUGAGAAUUUGACUUCAAAUGAUGUCCCAAGUUGUAUGAACUCUUGAUUAUUGAUCAUGGUGCCCAAAUUCCACAAGAAUGACCACCAUCCACUACUUUGACUGAUAGUUGACUUUUCUAGGGUUUUUGACUGUCUGUGUAUGAACUGCUGACCUCUGAGCCCUCAACCCUUGACAUGAACUCUUCAAAUAGACCUCCAAGUCAUGUGAACUUGUUGGACAAACCCCAAGGCCUUGAUUCAAUGAGAAAUUCCUUUGCUUGCUUGGUUGACUGAUCAGGAGAUUAGUUUGGCCUAAUUCUUGAUUGCUUGCACUUGAGGCAACUGGGAACAAUACAAAUGUUAUGCAAUGGACCAUGAUAUGUUAUGACCUAAUAUGAAAAUGUACGCAUAAUGAUAGGUGCAAAUUUGAGGUGCUACAAUGAGCAGAUUCGAAGAAAUUAAAAUGUGAAGUAAACCUAUGAUUUGCUGAGUUUGAGAGCAUAAUUCCUUGCUAUGGAUGCUUGCAGUUUGUUCUUUAGAUCAAAGGGAAGAAGGCUAAGGAACUUUAGAUCCAGAAAACAAUCAAUGAAAUUGAAUUCUAGAUCUGAAAAAUUUAGAGAAAGUUGGUGAGUUCCUUUGAUAGUGAGGGUGAGGAUUCAAUUGCACAGCAUUUAGGGCGCCUUCAGGUUGCUGAAAUGAGAGGCCUUGGCAUUGUAUUUAUAGGAGAAAGCAUCUGAUAUGCAUGAACAUUCCCUUGCAUGAAUGGAAAGGGCCUCCAUACAUGGGCCUGUCCAAGCGCAUGGAGGGCCCAAUUCCACUUGGAUUUGGUAGCUGAACAAUGAUAGAAGCAAAUUGGAAUGAUACAGGUUUAGCUCAUGCAAUGCAAAUUAAUUGAUUUUCCAAAAUUGCACCAAUGUGUUCAUGUCUUCGAAAAUGCCAUGUCCAAACUUGAAACACCACCUCAUGAGUAAUGGUUGGAAAUAUUUUUGCAUGAGGAUCAUUUGUUAUGUUGAUCACAACUCCAUUUGAAACUUGGAAAUUGAUGAAAAGUGGUCAUGAAGUGUAGGGUGCAAAACAUGUACAUGUGAGAAUUUCAAAAAUAGCCAAAGUUCAAGCCCCUCUGUCUCAAUGAUGCAAGCUCCAAACGAUAAAAUCUUCAACAUCAAAGUUGUAAAUCGUUUCAAGGAAAAAAAAUUGGACUUAAAUUUUGCAUCAUUUGGAUUUUUGAUGAAGAAGUUAUGGGCACUUGAAGUUGGACUUUUUCACAUUUCAAUGCCUUUGGUCCAAAGUGACCUAUAAUGUUUUACAUUAUCACAUGUAUUUCUUUUAGGAUUUUGAAAUUUUGCUCAACAUAACAUUUGAAGUAGACAUAUUAAGAUUUAAAAUUCAUUUGAUCCCACCUCAAAAUCAUGAAAAAUGAAGGAGUUAUGUCCUUGGGAAGUUGACCCAAAAUUAGGGUUUUAGUCAAAAUGACCUAUAAUGUCUUGGAAUGGAUGAUGACGUUCCAAGCAUCAAAUAAAUUUUUGAUGAACAUUAAAGUUGUUCAUAUGGUUCUUAAGAACAUUUUGUCUCUUGGGGUCAUCUCCAUUUGACAAACACAUCAAAAGUUAGGUCUCAGUGUAUUUCAAAAUAGUGAGAUGAAUUGAUUGAUCAACUUCUCAAGUCCAAACCUCAUAUCUUGAUGAAUUGAUGAUUGAGGAUACUCAAAUAAGUUCAAAUAUGCAUGAAAUGAUGAAUGAAAAAACUUCCCUUGAUUGUAUUUGAUCAUGGAUUGAGGUUGCUUCAUGAGCAAGGCACAGUUGAUGAACAGAUGAAUUAGGGUUUCCUUGGGAAACAAGCCUCAAGUCCCUUCAUUUACUUUGAUAAAAAUGAUGAAUUGAGAUAAUUGGGAGGCAUAUUUGAUGGAUGAGAUCUUUGGGAACCAUUUCCAUGCUUUCUUUCAUCUUCUCUUGGCCAUAUCAAUGCACAUAAGAUCUUGUGACUGCUCAAGCUACAAACAAGAGAUGUUAGUGACAUAUUUUUGUGCUUUUGGUUAGUAAACAAAAUAAGAAAAGAAAUAAUAUACAAUUAAAUCGUGCUUGGUGAUCUCAAACCAACUCACAAAAGUUCCCACCCAAAGGUAAGGAGCCAAGAUGAUAUGAUCCUUGAGGCAAGAUGCAAAUGCAAUGUUAUGAUGCCAUGAGGGAUCUUAGGGUCAAAAUUAGGGUCCUACAGGUUGGAUUCUAAGAUUGUGGAGCAUAGAUUGCCGUUGAAGCCAUAAUGUCUUCCAGUCAAGCAGAAAUUGAGAAGAACGCAUCCUGAUAUGGCUGUGAAGAUCAAAGAGGAAGUGCAAAAGCCGAUUGAUGUUGGUUUCCUUGUGACCAUUGAGUAUCCGCAAUGGGUGGCCAAUAUUGUGCUUGUACAAAAGAAAUAUGGAAAAGUCCGCAUGAGUGUCAAUUAUAGAGAUUUGAAUAAAGUCAAUCCGAAAGAUGACUUCCCUCUGCCACACAUUGAUAUGUUGGUAGACAAUACUGCUAAAUUCAAGGUCUUUUCAUUUAUGGAUGGGUUUUCGGGAUAUAAUCAGAUCAAGAUGGCACCCGAAGAUAUGGAGAAGACCACAUUCAUUACACCCUAGGGAACAUUCUGUUAUAGAGUGAUGCCUUUCGGUCUAAAGAAUGCUGGUGCAACUUACCAGAGAGAACCCUAGGGAACAUUCUGUUAUAGAGUGAUGCCUUUCGGUCUAAAGAAUGCUGGUGCAACUUACCAGAGAGCAAUGACUACUCUUUUUCAUGAUAUGAUGCAUAAAGAGAUUGAAGUAUAUGUCGAUAACAUGAUUGCUAAAUCAAUUAAUGAAGAGGAACAUAUUGAGCAUUUAUUGAAGUUACUCAAGCGUUUGUGGAAGUAUAAACUUCGCUUGAAUCCCAAUAAGUGUACUUUUGGUGUUCGUUCUAGUAAGUUAUUGGGCUUUAUUGUCAGCGAGAAGGGUAUUGGAGUUGAUCCUGCCAAGGUCAAAGCAAUACAAGAGAUGCUUGCGCCCAAAACUAAGAAGCAAAUCAGAGGCUUUCUCGGCCGCUUGAAUUAUAUUUCUAGAUUGAUUUCCCACAUGACUACCACAUGUGCACCUAUAUUCAAGCUUCCUCAGAAAGAUCAGUCUUGUGAUUGGACCGAAGACUGCCAGAAAGCUUUUGACAGUAUCAAAGAAUAUUUGCUUAAACCUCUGAUUUUGUCUCCACCUGUUGAAGGAAGACCAUUGAUCAUGUAUUUGAUUGUGCUCGAAGAUAGUAUGAGUUGUGUCCUUGGUUAGCAAGAUGAGAUUGGAAAGAAAGAAUUUGCAAUUUACUACCUCAGUAAGAAGUUCACCGACUGUGAGACUCGGUAUUCUAUGCUUGAGAAGACUUGUUACGCAUUGGCUUGGGCUGCUAAGCGUCUGCGCCAGUAUAUGUUGAAUCAUACCACUUGGCAGAUGUUAUUGUCAGAGUAUGAUAUCAAAUACCGAUAUCAGAAAACAAUCAAAGGUGGUAUCUUGGCUGACCAUUUGGCUCACCAACCAAUUGAAGAUUAUCAGUCUGUGCAGUAUGAUUUUCCUGAUGAAGAGAUUUUGUACUUGAAAAUGAAAGAUUGUGAUGAAUCAUUGCUUGAAGAAGGGACAGAACCUGGUUCUCGUUGGGGAAUGGUAUUUGAUGGAGCUGUUAAUCAAUAUGGAAAUGGAAUUGGGGCCAUGAUUAUUACUCCUCAAGUCACACAUCUAUCAUUAACAUCUAGAUUGACUUUCAAGUGUACAAACAACAUGGAAGAAUAUGAAGCUUGCAUUAUGGGGCUUGAAGAGGCCAUGAAUCUCAGAUUCAAGUAUUUGGAUGUCUUCGGUGAUUCGACUUUGGUUAUGAAUCAUAUCAAAGGAAAAUGGGAGACAAAUCAACCUGGUUUAGUACCAUAUAGAGAUUAUGCGAGAAGGAUUUCAACUUUCUUUACAAAGGUUGAAUUUCAUCAUUUCUCUCGAGAUGAGAACCGGAUGGCAGAUGCUCUUGCAACGUUGGCGUCAAUGAUUGUAGUGAAGUAUUGGAAUGAAGUUCCCAAUGUAUAUAUGAUGCGUCUUGAUAGGCCAGAUCAUGUGUUUGUUAUUGAAGAGAUUAAAGACGAGAAGCCGUGGUAUUACGACAUCGAAUGUUUCCUCCAAAGUCAAAAUUACCCGCCUGGGGCAUCUUUGAAAGAUAAGAAAACUUUGAGAAGAUUAGUCGGCAAUUUCUACUUGAAUGGUGAUAUAUUAUACAAGAGAAACUUCGACAUGGUUUUGCUCAGAUGCGUGGAUAGACACGAAGCAGACUUGUUGAUGACUGAAGUGCAUGAAGGUUCCUUUGGUACUACUACUUGAAUGGUGAUAUAUUAUACAAGAGAAACUUCGACAUGGUUUUGCUCAGAUGCGUGGAUAGACACGAAGCAGACUUGUUGAUGACUGAAGUGCAUGAAGGUUCCUUUGGUACUCAUUCCAAUAGACAUGCAAUGGCGAAGAAGAUGUUGCGAGCAGGUUACGAUUGGCUGACAAUGGAAUUUGACUGUUGCAAAUUUGUGAAGAAGUGCCACAAGUGUCAAAUUUAUGCUGAUAAGAUUCAUGUUCCUUUGACACUAUUGAAUGUUAUCUCUUCCCCAUGGCCCUUCUCCAUAUGGGGAAUUGAUAUGAUUGGGAUGAUUGAGCCCAAAGCUUCGAAUGAACAUCGUUUCAUUUUAGUGGCAAUUGACUACAUCACGAAAUGGGUUGAAGCGGCAUCAUAUGCAAAUGUGACCAAGAAGGUUGUUGUAAGGUUUAUCAAGAAUCAGAUUAUAUGUCGUUAUGGUGUGCCAAGAAAGAUCAUUACUGAUAAUGGAUCGAACUUGAAUAACAAUAUGGUGGAAGCUCUUUCCAAAGACUUCAAGAUUGCACAUCAUAAUUCUUCUCUCUACAGACCCAAGAUGAAUGAGGUUGUUGAAGCUGCGAAUAAGAAUAUUAAGAAGAUUAUCCAGAAGAUGGUUUUCAUGUAUAAGGAUUGGCAUGAGAUGCUCCCUUUUGCUUUGCAUGGGUAUCGUACAUCCAUCUGCACUUCAACAGGGGCAACCCCCUUCUCUCUUGUUUAUGGUAUGGAAGCGGUGCUCCCCGUAGAGGCUGAGAUUCCUUCAUUGCGAGUGCUCAUGGAAGUCAAGUUGACUAAGGCUGUAUGGUGUCAGACCAGGUUUGAUCAGCUAAAUUUGAUUGAAGAGAAGAGGUUAACUGCCAUGUGUCAUGGUCAGUUAUAUCAAUAGAGAAUGAAGAAAGCUUUUGAUAAGAAGGUCAGACCUUGAGUGUUCAGAGAAGGUGACCUUGUGCUCAAAAAGAUUUUGACGUUCAAGCCAGAUUCCAGAGGAAAAUGGACUCCUAAUUAUGAAGGCUCAUAUGUUGUUAAGAGAGCCUUUUUAGGCGGUGCAUUAAUUCUUACAACUAUGGAUGGUGAAGAGUUCACUCGUCCUUUGAAUGCAGAUGCAGUUAAGAAAUACUUCGCCUAAAAAAAGAAAAGAACAACUCGAUAAGUUGAAAACCCGAAAGGGCGACUUAGGCAAAAAUGAGCAUCUCGGUGGAUUGAAAACCCGAAAGGGAGAUCUAGGCAAAAAUUAGAGACAUAAAAACAGAAAGAAUUUCCCGAUAAGUUAAGUACCCCACCUUGGGGCAACUUAUGCAAAAAUAUGGGAUUAUGGCAAGUAACUACAUUCUACUGAUCUUCAGAUUUUGAAGGCUUGUUUGAGCACAAGGGUUGACAUCAGUUUGUCCCCAACAACGGUCAAGAGCACAACAGAUAUCAAGAGAUGGUAGAAGGAUUAAGGAUCAUUUGUAUUAAAUGUAACCCUUUUCCAUGUAAAUUACCAUUUUUAACUUUGUAAAAAUCUAUGGAGUCUUGUCAUUUACAGACUACCAUUCCAUCAAAUAAAGUUGAGCUUUUAUCCAGUUAUUUCUACUCUUAUUUACUUCAGCCAAUAGUUUUAAAUUUUAUUAUGAUCAUUUUGAAAUUAAAAUUUUUUAUCAAAAAAAAAAUCAAGUUUUUUUUAAAAUAUAUAAAGCAUGAAUUUUUCAAAGCAAUUAAAAUGAGUAUCAACAGCAUUUCGAUGGAUAGCAAGUCCUUAAAUGCGAAACAUCAGAGGUUCCCCAAGCAAUUAACCCUUUGGGUAUCCCUAGACGUUUGUGUGGAUUUAGUUCCUCGACGGAGUGUUUGAUACUCAGUGGAAUUUCUUUCCUUUUCCCCAGCUGAGUUGGAUGAUCCAGAUACCCUACGGCAUGUUGUUUUCCUCGACAGAGUUUCUGCCUUCCCUAGCGAAGUUCGUAUUUCUUCAGCAAGGUUGAUCUUUAGAGGUGGUUGAUUUUCCCCCAUUAAAUCGCAUUGGUUUCCCCACCAAUCUCCAUUCAACUUGCUCCCAGUCAGAGUUUCCUCCUGGUUUCUGAGCAGCUUUUGUUAUGAUUUUUCUCUAUAGGAUUGUCUCCCAUUUUUAUGGUGUUGACCUAAAAUCCCCCGCAGAUUGGAUGUUCUGUCCUCAGCAGAUCUCCUCCUUCCCCAGCUAGGGUUGAGCCUUUGGGAUGUCGAUCUCUUUGUUCUCCAACAGUUGUCUCCAUAUUUUGUGGAUUGACCAAGGAUUGUACCGUUGGUUCAAAUUCUUUGUGACACCUUUGUAUCAUUUGUGAUCAUUUUGUCAACAUAAUCAUCAUAUAUACAUAUACAUAUAUAUUCGUAUAAUUUCAUAAUUUGCAUAUCCUGCAUCUUUAUAUUUGAUUUAUUUGAGAUUUUUAUUCUCUAUUAUGGAGGUAUUUUAUCCCCAUACCAAAUCUGGUGUCUGUCCUCCUUCAAUUGUAGAUUGUCAACCCCUUAAGCAGAAAGACUUUAACCUUUCUCCGUUUCCCCAUUGAGUUUGUUUCCUCGUGGAUGGUUGUUAUUUUAGUUUCCUCUCGAGAGGAUUUUCUGGAUGGAAUUACUCCCCUUGAGUUAUGUCCUCAUUGGGUUGUGUCUUAAUUGACUGUUUCUAUCUAGCUCUUACCUAGAUAGAUGCUUUGAGUCUCCUAAGAGUUGAUUGCCCAGUAACUGGUAAUAUUCUUCUUAGUUUGCCGUUUGUUACUUCUUGCCCAAUACCUGGAAAAAGUACCCCUGUUUUUCUCCUCAGUAGAGUCCCUAGUGGAUCUAUUCCCCAGUAAGUGUAUCCUUUAUAUGUUCACCCUAACCGGUGACGGAUAUCUUUCUUUCCCCUGCCGGAGUCUAUCCUUGAUAUGUUCACUUUAACCAGUGAUGGAUAUUCUCAUUUUUGGUAUUCUACCCAGUAAAAGGGUAUUUGUAAUCCAUAUUUUGUUCCCUAGAGAGUUAAUCCUUGAUAUGUUCAUCUUAACCGAUGACGGGUUUUCUUCUCCUUGUGGUUUUCUACCCAGUAACCGGGAGUUGUAAAUCCUACUUUAUCACCUUGCAGAGUCUAUCCUUUAUAUGUUCAUCCUAACCGGUGACGUAUUUUCUCUCCGACGGUUUUCUAUCCAGCUUUCGAUAAAUGUAAUUCCUAAUCAAUGACGGGUAUCCUCCUUGACAUUCCCGGGCAAGCCUAUCCUUGAUAUGUUCAUUUUAACCGGUGACGAAUUUUCUUCCCUGUCGAGUUUAUCCUUGAUAUGUUCAUCAUAACCGAUGAUAGAUACUCUCGCCUUUGGUCUUCUUCCCAGUAACUGGUAGUUGUAAAUCCUAUAUUUUCUGCAAUUUCCCCAGCAAGGUUAUUCUUACCCAGUAGUCGGUAAUGAAUUUCCUCUCCUGGAAUCCUCAGCGAGUCAUCCUUGAUAUGUUCAUCUUAACCGAUGACGAAUGUUCUCUCUGUCAGAUCUUUAUUAUCUCCUUACCCAGUAACAGGUAGUAGAUAAUAGAUUUAUGCUCCUCCUGUGUUGAAGUUUAUUGCUUCCCCAGUUAAGUUGAGUGUGCGUUUUUCCUUAGUGAAAUCGCUUUCCCCUGCAUGAUUCGAGUACUUCAGUUUUAUCCUGACCUACUCAUGUCUCUUGCAGAUGUUGUUGUUUCCCCAGCUGAGUCUUUCCAUGUUUGUAUGGAUGUCCUCGAGUCCUCCAACAAUUUUUAAGUCGUAGCCUGGCCUACGCAUAACCCCUCUUACCCCUCCCCAAGAGUCUUUGUCUCCCUAGUGAGUUUUCCUUACGGAAUGCAUUAUGCUCCUGUGGAUUUUCGGUCUCUCUGAUUCCUUUUUUCCUUUGUGGCAAUAUUUCCCACAGAGCAUUAACUUUUACAUUCAUAUCAUAUGCAUCAUGAGGUAUCUUAGUACCAAAAUUCGUUUCUCUAUGUUGUUAUUUAAGCCCAUUCUACUGAGUCGAGCCGAAGAUUUUAACCUUCACCUCCUUAGUUAGAAUGUCCUUAAAUAGGGGCAGUUGUAAGACCCCAAUUUUGACCCUAAGAUCCCUCAUGUAAUUUCAUCAUAAGUAUUAGCAUUGAGAUCAUACCUUGGCAUCCUCCUUACCCCUCUUUCAUUGGGUCUGUUUUAGGAGAGAUCACCAAGCACUUUGUGAUUGUAUCAUACUUGUAUUUUAUCAUUUCACUAACCAAAAUAUCAAAAAUAUGCCUUUACAUUUUCCUAACUCUUUUGUAGGAAGGGCAUGAUCUCCAUUGAUCUAUCAAGUUCACAUCUAAGGUUUGAGACCCUAAUGAACAAAGAGCACAACCAAGAAUCAAUCCAAGAAUGGUUAUGAGCAUCAUAUACGACUACCAAUGUUCUCUACAUGUUAUAUUGAUCAAGUUUUCUUCAAGAGUUUGAGGGUGAUUUGCCUUGGAAAUCCUAGUUUGACUGGGUAUCUUGAGUAACUUCUCCAACAAGCUAUCACACUAAUUGAUCAAAUUUCUAAAGGGACACUUCAAAAUUCAUCAUCUUAUUCAUAUAUGAUCUACCAUGAGCCAAGAAAUUCAAGAGAAUUGAAGGUUAGCAAGUUGGUUGAUGGUGGUUGGCCAGAUGGAUUCAUCUGAUCAAAACUAGGUCUCCCUAGACCCCAUCUCCUACAAUUUUCACCAUAUGAAAAUUAUUCCAAGAUAAAAUUUACUCUAAAUGACAUUCCAAACAACUUUCAUGUUGAGACCUAGAGGUAGGUUUGAAUGGAAAAUCAUUUUAUAUGUUGAAACAUUCUAGGUCAUUUUGUCUAAACCCUAAUUUGAAAGUCAACUUCCCCAGGCCAUAACUUGCUCUAUUUUUAUGAGAUGAAAUAUUUCCAAGUUUCACAAUCAAAUUCAAUGUGUCUACUUCAACUUUGAUGUUUAUAGUGGGAGAUAAUUCAACUUUUUUUAGCAUGUGAUAUGAGGUUACAUUAUAGGUUAUUUUGACCUAUACCAUUGAUCAAGUGAUUUUUCCAAAUUUCAAAAAUGCAUAACUAUAUCAUUUUAAAUCCAAAUGACAUUAAAUUGAUGAACAUUUUGAAGGUCUUUUAAAGAGAUACAACUUUGAUGAAGACACUUUUCUCAUUUGAAGCUUAUAUAAAAAGUAAAGCAAUGUGGAAUAUGGAGACAUAUGGCUUGACACUUAGAAAAAUUUUGAUAUGUCAAAAAUUUCCAAACUUCCACCUCAAAUUUCUUCAAGUUACAAACUCCAAACAGAAAAGUGUUGAACAUGAAAGUUAUUCCUCUUGAUCUGACCUUUCCAAAGACCUCAAAUUCAUUCAUUUUGGAUAAGGAAUGCAUAGGCUGCACAUGGCAUGAACAUGGUGUCAUCAUUUGGAAAAGAUCAAACUUCAAAUCCAAAUGUACACUUGACUUGCAAUCCAAGCUGAAUUCAGCCUAUCUCACACUCAUUUGUGGACUUAUGGCAAUGAUUUUAUGGGCCUAUGCGCUCCCAUGCACCCAUGCAUCAUCAAAGACCAAAUUUGGAAAGUGAAUUCAAGUGUGCAAAAAGCAAUGGAUUCAGCUAUAAAUAGAGCCUCAUAUGCUCAGCAUUUCGGACACAUUCGCGUCAGCUUUGAUCCCAUAACUCUAACCCUCACAUUGCAAAGGAUAAACCUGAGAAAUUCACUUGAAUUUGAGUUUGAAUUUCCAAUGUUUUGAAAUUCAAAUCUCCAGGAAUCCAUAGCCUUUUGAGCAUUCAAUCCUUCUUCUGCAAGCAUUUGGAGUGAGAUCAAGCACGAACAAGAGCAAGAUCAAUUGAAUCCAGACCUCCAUUGAAGGUAUUUUCCAGAAUUUUUGAUCUCUCCGAUUCUCUCUAAUUCUUACUCAAUUCUAUUGAUUCUUUGGUUGUCUGAAGUCCUACCAAUGUAGGCAAGAAGAUUGAGUUGCUUUGAGGCCAAAUCGAAGCAACUAAAUUAAUGUACCUCAAAUUUCAACUCCAUGUAUCUCUCAAUAUACUUGGAGUUAAAGUGAAUUGAGGCUAGAUUCAAACUCAGUGCCAUUUUUACUUUGAAAUCAUGUCCUUGUUUAUAAUUUUGGUUAUGGUUGAAGGUGGACCAGUCCGGUGAGGUCCACCGGAGAAGAAGGUCGGAGCUACAGCUCCGCCCAUGUGAUCCUCUUGAUUUGUUUUAAUCUGGAGCGUGCAUUUUAAUUACCAAUGUUAUGGCGCGCUGACUUGAGUUCAUCGUGGAUAACAUGUUUCUGGCCACUUGAUUUGCCACCUCAAUUAAUGAGGGAGAUCAAGUGGUCCACGUUUUUUCUGAUAUUUUAUUUUCAUUUUAGUUGCAUUAUUUUUAAUAAAACAUAUUAAAUUCAAUAUUGAUCCAAAAAAUAAAGGGACUUUCACCAAAAAAUUUCAAAUAUUUUUCUCUUUCAUAUUCUGAAUUAAAAUUAUUUUUUGGAUCAUUAUUAAUAUUUUUCAUGAAUUAAUUGAUUUUGCAUUUGUUUUUAAUUGUUUAAAAAAUUUGGAUCAUUAUUAAUAUUUUUCAUGAAUUAAUUGAUUUUGCAUUUGUUUUUAAUUGUUUAAAAAUAUUUUUAAAUGUCCAAAAAUUAUGAUUUUUUUUCUCCAAGGUCCUUUGACCUUGUUUGACAUAUGAUAAAUCUCAUGGCCAUUUCUUUGGUGUUUUGAUGAGAUUUUAGGAAUUGGACAAACCAUAUUUAAUUUAAAUGCACUAUUUUCGUAUUUUAAUUUGAAUAAAUGCCAAAUAAAGUUGUUGACCAAUUGUGAUGACUUGUUUAUGUUUGAAUCUUGUUGUUGGGCCUUGGUCAAGGUUGAUUUGACUUUGUUGACCAAUUGAUGGAAUGUAAAUUCCAUCUCCCAAAAUGAAUGGAUGAUAUUAAUAUGGUAAAAGUCCUCCUUUGAUCAAUUUGUGUUUUGAUCCAUUCCCCUCCCACUUCAUCUUACCCCCUUUACUCAUUCAUUCAUUCCAUUUGGCCUAUGAUAUCUCAUAAUCCUAAGGCUAGUUGAUUGAAAAUUUGACAUGAGUAUGGAUGAGAUUAGGCCACAACUUUUGCAUAUUCUUUUUGUGUGUGGUAUAUUUCAUGAGCAUAGUCCAUUAUACUAUGUCUCUAACAUGCAUUAACACUAAAAUUUUAUUGCCCAACUGUUAAUACCUUAGGAUUGACAUUAAUUUUGUAAAAUAAAUAAUGUAAUCAUCUCUGUUGUUUUAAUAUGUUGGGUUGAAGAAGUUCAACAUCUGGACCAACAUGUCAUGUACGAUGUCACGACAUCAGGNNNNNNNNNNNNNNNNNNNNNNNNNNNNNNNNNNNNNNNNNNNNNNNNNNNNNNNUUGUAGUGAUAGGAAUGGAAACUGGAGGUUUCUAUCUAGGAGUUCCUAGGUAUAGAUUGCAUUGGGUAGGGAUUAAGUGAAGAGUUGUAAACGGGGGAGUUUAACUCUGAAUUAAUACUGCUGAUAGUGGAUCUUCUUCCUGGCUUGGUAGCCCCCAGAUGUAGGUCAUGUUGGACUGAACUGGGUUAACAAUUUCCUGUGUUUGUUUUCCUUCUGCAUAUGUUAUAAUCCUGUAUUCCAUAACCAAACUUGUAUUUCAGUCUGCCUACCAAGAUAAUAACAGACCUGAUACAUAGCCUUCUGGUUGUAUGUCAAUCAGAAUGUCGUAACAUUCAUCAUUGACAGCUUAUACUGAAUAAUAGACAGGUUGAUUUCUAUGCUUCAGUUCAGUAUAUAUUUAAGUCUGGUUUUCAAGUGAAAACAGACCUGGCCAAAGGAUCAUUGUGAAGCUGUCAAACUGGAUGGCUAGAUAGUUGUUCAUGUAGGCUGAUACUGAACUAGAGACUGGUUGGUCGUUUACAGUACAUCAAAUUUAGCAUAGUCGGUUUCUCUAGAACAUAACAGAAUCAGUAGGAUGUAUAUGUUCUGACUGUCAAUCAGAAUGUUGUGACAUUCAUUCCUGACAGCAUGUGCUAAAGUGUAGGAUGAUUAGUUUUUUUGUUUCAGUAUUUUUCUCAGGCUAUUCUUUAGGAAUCCAACAGCUGAGCUAAAAUCCAGGAAACCAACUACUGCCCUACACUUAAUGAACCUAACAAAUAACCUAUUUGUUAGCAAUCUAAUAAGUGGUUAUUAGAUUAAUGUAUUCAACCUUUAAUUCAGGAAAUACAAGUAACAGACAAGCACACUGGAAUAAUGUAACAGAUGAACAAUAUUAAGACAUCGUGCAGAUAACAUGUGUAGGAAAACAACAGAAGUGAGUGCUAUGAUUGAUCUCUGCUGAGUUUGUAUACCAUAUGCACAGGACUAGGGGUUCCUUCCCUCUAGGAUGACAUAGAAAGAGAUGUAGUGACAUCUGUGAAAGAGUGAGUCAGUACAGGGCUUUUAAUGUGUUAACUAUCUUGCUGCAUUAGUUACAAUGUUGGAUCAGAUGUCAUGACUUGGAGUAGAACAUCUGAAUUCUGACUACGCCAGAAUUUCAAUUGGUAUCAGAGCAGGCAUCCUGUUCUAUUUCUGGAUGAGAUCCAUGGCUGAUACUUUCUGGUAUUUGGCAAGAAGUUAUGUUAGUACUGGUGUUGGAACCUGAAGAUGGUUCUGUGGUUUCCCUGAAUGGUCCCUUGAAGUAGGUGGAUGGACUAUUCAUGACAGGAACUGUGUGCACCUGCCUCUGGAGAUAGGUCCCUUGAAGUAGGUGGAUGGACUAUUCAUGACAGGAACUGUGUGCACCUGCCUCUGGAGAUUGGCAAUUGGCCUUUGUGUGGGACAGCUGUGCAAGUAUUGAAUCAUAUUCAAACUUGGUAUGGUCUUGGAGGCUGAUCUGGUGAAGUGCGUGUUCAUAGGUUGAGUUGUAUUAUAAUUUCCGCUGCAUAAUACCUGGCAAAACUCAAACUCUGAUGUAGUUUCCCCCCAUAUGGAUGAAAGGUUGUUGUAUUCGAGAUUUCAUCAUAUUCUACUGAAGAUGUCAAAGAUGCUUGAGUCUCAUCAAGUCCCCUCCUCUUAGUAAGAAUCACCUGAUCACUGAUUCUUGUACUCUCCUGGGUAGUGUAUAUGAAGACCUUGAAGUCUUUCAAGGAGGGUUUGCUUCAAGGAGGCUAAACUAAUGUUCUAUGUGAUGUUAGAACAUGUUGUUCAACAAGUAGGCAUCUACUGGUUGAAGAGCAGAUGUGUUUAGGUGUCAAACAAAGGGAUACUUUGGUUUGAAACCUACUCCUGACCUGGAAGAGGAGACAUCUGUGUGUGCUAAGUUGACAAGGGUAGGGUCAACUGUGUGUGUGCUCAAGAAGGUCACUUUUAGAAGUCUGAUCUCUAGAAGUGGAGCUGGUUGAGAUGUGACAUUGUGCAAUCCCCGCUGUGUGCCUUAUUCCUGUAGAUUGAUCAGGGUUGGAUAGUUGUUUCCUGAAGUACUAUGGCGUACUGGAAGACAAGUCCCCUGGAUGAUAGAAGUCAAUAAUAGGGUAACCUGACUGCUAUUCCAUUUAAGAGGAUUGGGACCAUGAAUCUUGUUAUUCAAACACCUCGCUCAGAAGUGGCAGUUCCUUCAAGGAGUGAGAAUAUGAAGAUUCAGAGGUUGGUUGAGGUAGUAUGCUCUGGCAAUGCAAAUCUACUAUUGACUGGUGUUGUUUUUCACUAGUACUUAUGGACAGCUGAAGUCUGAUUGGUGUGAUUGGAGUAUGUAUAGGUUUAACUCAUAGAGUUAGGUGCCACUGGUAGGGAUGGUGUAUUUCAUGUUGAGACAUGUAUGUACAAUGCAUGGAUAUUGGUGUGAAGUUUCCAUGAUUAUUUAUUUGAGGGGGAGUUUUAGUUAACCUCCUCACAUUUGGUCAGCCUAGGGUCUGGUUGGCUGUUGACUUGUGUCACAUGGGUUCUGGUGGUUGUGUGACACAUUUGCAAGGAAGAAUUCAUCUCUCUCAUUCCUAAGGGUGAAUUUAAUCUGAGAAGAUUUUCAAAACUGUUUAAGUGCUUGCAAGUAGAAGAUGUUGACACUAGAAGAGUAUUUUCAAAGUAGUCUUAUGGUGGAAGUAUCUGAAAGGAAUAUUGGGAAAGGAUUUAAGAUCAACGCCAACUUGUGCCAAGUACAAGUAUUUGAUUGAUUAUCCUUGGAGCUCAAGAUAACUGAUGUUCUUAAAAAUGUUGGAACAUCUCUUCUUCAAGACCUUGUGCAGAAUCACAGGAAGGAUAGUACAUUGGUUUAUGAUCUAUCUCUUUGGUGGCAACAAAAGCAUAUGAUCUCUAAAAAGGUUUCCUGGCAAGAAACAUGGUCAGCCUUGGUGUGUACAAGAUGAAGAAGACAUCAUAGUCUUGAUGGUGGUUACUUGGAUCAGUUUAUCUCUGAUCUAAGUAAGGAAGUGCAUUGGCUAAUGCACACUAUGAAGUUAAGAACAAGUGGCGGCAAUCUUAACAUCAUGGAAAUAGCCUUGCUGUAGGAAGAAGAAUCCUUGGUAUAGCUGAAGGGUUAGUUGCUAACUGGUCCUUCUGAAGAAUCUUGCACCAGAGUGUCUGAUGUCUUUGGAGAAGAAGCAGGAAUUCAUCAAGGUGUGAGCUUGGAUGACUUAACUGCAAACCUGCAGGAUGGAGGUUGUUUACUCAAACUUGGUUCCACAAUCAAGUCUAUGAGAACAUUGAACUCUUGUUCUGUGAAGGGAGGAAGUUCUUUCAAGUGGCAGAAGAAGGAGCUGAAUUCAACAGCUGGAUGUCAAAACACAAUGUUGUGACAUUUGGUUCAACAUCAGAUUCUUAGUUGGUGAAGUGGCACAUCAACUUGAGAUAGAAGGGUCUACAGGGUUGUAGAUUGGACACUUCAAAAGGCUUGAAGUUCAAAUCUCACUUGGAAGGUCAGAAUAUCUUUGGGAGAAGUCUGAUAAACUUGGAGAGGUCAAAAAGUGGCAUUUGACUUUCUCAUAUGAGGAUUCAUGAAGGAGGUAAUCAACCAGUGACAUUUGGUCUAUCUCAGAAGUGAGUUCGAAGAAUCAAGAUAAUCAACAUAUGGCAGCUGAUUAUUCUUGAGGAAAGUCUGAGACAAAUUACUUUUGAGCAGAAAAGUAGUAAGUUGAAGACAAAAGGAGGUGUUUUCUAUUCAUCUCUUGGAGCUUGUGGUAGGAGUUCUGAGCUAUCUAUGGAAGAUUAUCUCUUGUAAUGGGAUGAAAAUGUAUAUGUCCCAAUGUNNNNNNNNNNNNNNNNNNNNNNNNNNNNNNNNNNNNNNNNNNNNNNNNNNNNNNNNNNNNNNNNNNNNNNNNNNNNNNNNNNNNNNNNNNNNNNNNNNNNNNNNNNNNNNNNNNNNNNNNNNNNNNAAAGUCUGAGACAAAUACUCUUGAGCAGAAAAAGUAGUAAGAUUGAGGAAAAAAGGAGAUGUCUUAUCUAUUCAUCUCUUGGAGCUUGUCGGUAGCGAGCUUUCAAGCUAUCUAUGGAAGAUUUAUCUACUUAUACUGCGAUGACAAGUAUGGUCCGCAAUUUUGUCUGGCUCCUUUUGACUGAGCUGGUGACUCAGUGAUAUCUAAAAUUUAUCAGAUGUGUGCCCUGUUAUGGUGUGAGGAUGUCCUAACUAUGUUAGAACAUUUUGUGAAGAGGCUUUCUGUUCAUGGCUUAAAAGAGAGAUUGACACAGGUGUGGAUGUCGUUCAGCCAGAGGGUUGAACAGAGAGUUGCUUCUUGAAGACAUGAAGAUGCACUCUUAUGUUUUCCUUCAUCAAGUGUCUGGGUUCUCUUUGAAUCAGGAAGUAUGUGAAGGUCAACUUUGCGAUGUUGGUAUGCCCAUGUGUGAUCUCCAAGUUUCAAGAGGAGAGUGGCGUUGUAUGACAGCGGGGAGUCUUCUGUCCUUUGUGCUGUUAAUGUAGUAACCUCAUCUUGUGCGUCUAGGGGCCCGUCUCAGAUAACUGCAGUAUGGCACACCUGUGAGGAUGCAUGCGUAUAAGUCAAGGCUGAGUGAGCAGAAGAAUGUACUGACCUGAUAGUCUGACAUUGCCCUGCAUUGCCUUGUUAGUUCCUCUGAAUCUUAAAUCAUUAGGAAUUAUGGAUGUGGUCGUGUCUAAUUCUGAUAAUAGAAUAAGCCUGAUGGUCACAGUUGCUGUGUACAUGGGAGUAACCAUCUACUGGCUGUUUGUGUGAUUUUUGGCUUUGUAGCUGCCAGAUGUCAAGUCUCUACUAGAAGUAUGAAGUCGUCUUAGGAAAUGUUGAAUACUGGCAGAUGCAGGGGAAAAGCCGCGCUGGAAUGUUAAGACAUCGUGUCAGACGUGUCUGACUGAUAUAUGUAAUAGUCUCCUGCACAUGACUGCCUAUUUUGGAAAAGAAACAGGUCAAGAGCAUAAAAGGCAUUAAGAUAGUCUGAGAUUUUGUUUGGUGUUCUGCUGACUGUUUCUCAGCAAAUAUUAAUGAAUCUUGACCAAGAUUUAUUCCUACCGUAAUCCUAAGCACGGGCUGCGACUAUUUAAAGGAUGCUAAUAGCCCCUUAUUCUCACAAGGAGAAACACUCCAUUCCCUCUGAAUCAUGGGCGGUAUGUUUAAGGUUUGGGCAAACUGCCGCCUGGAUCUGGUUCAUUGUGAGGAUUCCUAUUAACAACAUCUGUAGCUAAAAGCGGCGGAGAGAAUUAGUCCUGAGGUUAAGAAUGUCAGAAGCAAGCUAAUUGUGGGUGUGUAGCAACAGAAGUGGCGUCAGGCCAUAAAAUCCACCACUGGUAUACCACUUGUGUCUUGUGAUCUGACGUUAGAAGACAAGUUGUGCCUCUGUGAUCUGAGUUACAUUGGUCUAUGUACUCAGCAUUACAUAUUCUCUAUUCCCUCAAGAAGCCUCUCCUGUUGAGGAAGGUUCUGGUCCUAUUCUGUACCUCUACUUCCUUCAUCUACACCAAACUUGGAGUUUGUGAUGGUGCGAGUCAAUGACAAGAGAUGAAGAGCAUAACCAUAUUGGGAUGUUCUGCUUCCAGUGCAAAUGUUUAUUUUUGUUUUAGUAAAAUUGCCAAAGGGGGAGAUUGUUAAUACCUUAGGAUUGGCAUUAAUUUUGUAAAACAAAUAAUUAAUCAUCUCUGUUUGUUUAAUAUAUUGGGUUAAGAAGUUCAACAUCUGGACCAACAUGUCAUGUACGAUAUCACGACUCAUCGCCUGACAUCGUACAUGUGGUAGAAAACUGAAUUAAUUAAUUCAGUAUAUUCUGGAUAGUAAGAUAUUUGGUGAAUAUCUAACUCCCAUGUGGAGGUCUUAAGACUCAUCAGACAUAUAUAUAGGCUCAAAAUAAGGAGAUAUAUAUGGAGAGAUUUUAGGAUUGAAGACCUUGUUUGUAGCAAAAAAUUUCUGAUGUAUUUGUAACAGCAAGAAAAGUUUGCUGCGAUUUCUGAAGGCCAAAUCCAGUUGGUGAUUAGGUAUAAAUAGAUAUUGUACCUGGGUUAUUGUAAGCCUCUAGAAAUGAAAUUAGGGUGGUGUGAGGUAGUAAACCUCCCAAUCUGUGGGAAGGUUACCAUGUGUUUCUCAGUGUGUAAAGCUGAGGUCUUGUUAACUCAAAGCCUGUAGCAAGACGUGAUUUGCUUCUGAAUUUGAAGCUGUUGAAGCCAAGUUAAGUGUAUUUGAACAUUACAUUGUAUUUGUAGUGAUAGGAAUGGAAACUGGAGGUUUCUAUCUAGGAGUUCCUAGGUAUAGAUUGCAUUGGGUAGGGAUUAAGUGAAGAGUUGUAAGCGGGGGAGUUUAACUCUGAAUUAAUGCUGCUGAUAGUGGAUCUUCUUCCUGGCUUGGUAGCCCCCAGAUGUAGGUCAUGUUGGACUGAACUGGGUUAACAAUUUCCUGUGUUUGUUUUCCUUCUGCAUAUGUUAUAAUCCUGUAUGCCAUAACCAAACUUGUAUUUCAGUCUGCCUACCAAGAUAAUAACAGACCUGAUACAUAGCCUUCUGGUUGUAUGUCAAUCAGAAUGUCGUAACAUUCAUCAUUGACAGCUUAUACUGAAUAAUAGAUAGGUUGAUUUCUAUGCUUCAGUUCAGUAUAUAUUUAAGUCUGUUUUUCAAGUGAAAACAGACCUGGCCAAACGAUCAUUGUGAAGCUGUCAAACUGGAUGUCUAGAUAGUUGUUCAUGUAGGCCGAUACUGAACUAGAGACUGGUUGGUCGUUUACAGUACAUCAAAUUUAGCACAGUCGGUUUCUCUAGAACAUAACAGAAUCAGUAGGAUGUAUAUGUUCAGACUGUCAAUCAGAAUGUUGUGACAUUCAUUCCUGACAGCAUUUGCUAAAGUGUAGGAUGAUUAGUUUUUCUGUUUCAGUAUUUUUCUCAGGCUAUUCUUUAGGAAUCCAACAGCUGAGCUAAAAUCCAGGAAACCAACUACUGCCUUACACUUAAUGAACCUAACAAAUAACCUAUUUGUUAGCAAUCUAAUAAGUGGUUAUUAGAUUAAUGUAUUCAACCUUUAAUUCAGGAAAUACAAGUAAAAGACAAGCACACUGGAAUAAUGUAACAGAUGAACAAUAUUAAGACAUCGUGCAGAUAACAUGUGUAGGAAAACAACAGAAGUGAGUGCUAUGCUUGAUCUCUGCUUAGUUUGUAUACCAGAUGCACAGGACUAGGGGUUCCUUCCCUCUAGGAUGACAUAGAAAGAGAUGUAGUGACAUCUGUGAAAGAGUGAGUCAGUACAGGGCUUUUAAUGUGUUAACUGUCUUGCUGCAUUAGUUACAAUGUUGGAUCAGAUGUCAUGACUUGGAGUAGAACAUCUGAAUUCUGACUACGCCAGAAUUUCACCAACCUCAAAUAGUUGUGACUUCUACAUAAGUCCAAUUACGAUUACUUAACAUAGUGCUAAAUUUGUGACAUAAAAGGCAUAAGCAUUCUAGUUAGUGAGAUUGUAAGUCUCCCCUCUUUCAUGGUAUUAUGUGGAAACUUGGCCUUCUUUCCUUCCUUUGGAAGAUGUUUUGGAUCAAGGAUUCAUGCUUGUGAUAAGUAGGUUGAGUGUUCUCCAAAGAAUGUCUUAAAAUGAAAAGCAAAAGCAAAACAAUACUAACUUCUUACCAAUUAACUACUAACUUUUUAUUUCAAGUCCUUUACUUUAAUGCCAUUUAAUUUUUGUUUCUAUUCAUUUUCCAUUGUUCAUAUCAUUCUAAUUGUUUAUGAUAAUUCAAUUUUUACUUUGUCCUUUUGGACCAUAUUAUGUGAUAUAUUUUGUUUGUAUCUACUUUGCUUGUUUGUGUGGUCUUCGACCAUUAAUCUACAUAAUAAUAACAAAAACCCUAAAAGACUUUUGUGUGGAUUGUUGGCUUGAUCAUGGACAAAUGAACUUAGAAUCUAGGCAACCUUCCUAUGCUAAAGGACUUGGCCAAUGCCAACUUGUUAAAGAACUAAGUGCUUGCAAUUUGAAAACUCAUCUGAUACAUCUUUGAAGACAUCUCUAAGUUCAUCUGCAACAUGAUCAUUGUGAAGCUGUUAUUUUGAACCUAUGACUUGUGGAAUUCAUUUGUUACAUGGGCUAUUUUGGAGAAGAUCAUGGAAUGGAUAAGCUUGGAUGUGGACAUCUUUAUUUGAUGCCUUUCUCUUCAAGAUGAUAUAAUUGUGCAUUUGUGUGUUGCUUGAUUCUAAAAGUCUAAAGGGAAUGAUGAGUUUCUAUUGACAUUCUUGUCUAUUGGAUUGCGACCCAUUUGGUCAGAUCUUUUCAACUCUAAACUUUUAAUUUUGUACAUAGGAUAGUCUCUUCAUCUUCU
RNAcentral lists this long non-coding RNA (24711 nucleotides) under Lathyrus oleraceus (garden pea). RNAcentral's name for it is "Pisum sativum (pea) long non-coding RNA (PSAT_LNC021134)". The record is from RNAcentral. Lineage: Eukaryota; Viridiplantae; Streptophyta; Magnoliopsida; Fabales; Fabaceae.